AUUGAACGCUGGCGGCAUGCUUUACACAUGCAAGUCGAACGGCAGCGCGGGCUUUGGCCUGGCGGCGAGUGGCGAACGGGUGAGUAAUACAUCGGAACGUGCCCAGUAGGGGGGGAUAGCUGGGCGAAAGCCGGAUUAAUACCGCAUACGACCUGAGGGGGAAAGCGGGGGAUCUUCGGACCUCGCGCUAUUGGAGCGGCCGUUGGCAGAUUAGCUAGUUGGUGGGGUAAAGGCCUACCAAGGCGACGAUCUGUAGCUGGUCUGAGAGGACGACCAGCCACACUGGGACUGAGACACGGCCCAGACUCCUACGGGAGGCAGCAGUGGGGAAUUUUGGACAAUGGGCGAAAGCCUGAUCCAGCAAUGCCGCGUGUGUGAUGAAGGCCUUCGGGUUGUAAAGCACUUUUGGCGGGAACGAAAAGGACUGUGCCAAUACCACGGUUCGAUGACGGUACCCGCAGAAUAAGCACCGGCUAACUACGUG
RNAcentral lists this ribosomal RNA (484 nucleotides) under uncultured bacterium. RNAcentral describes it as "partial 16S ribosomal RNA". It matches the Rfam family "Bacterial small subunit ribosomal RNA", at positions 29 to 507 of the family's 1533-position model. The record is from RNAcentral.